Molecule: ribosomal RNA, 468 nt
Filed under: uncultured bacterium
Lineage: Bacteria
Description: partial 16S ribosomal RNA
Rfam family: Bacterial small subunit ribosomal RNA
Source: RNAcentral
GACGAACGCUGGCGGCGUGCUUAACACAUGCAAGUCGAACGGAAAGGCCCUGCUUUUGUGGGGUGCUCGAGUGGCGAACGGGUGAGUAACACGUGAGUAACCUGCCCUUGACUUUGGGAUAACUUCAGGAAACUGGGGCUAAUACCGGAUAGGAGCCCCUGCUGCAUGGUGGGGGUUGGAAAGUUUCGGCGGUUGGGGAUGGACUCGCGGCUUAUCAGCUUGUUGGUGGGGUAGUGGCUUACCAAGGCUUUGACGGGUAGCCGGCCUGAGAGGGUGACCGGCCACAUUGGGACUGAGAUACGGCCCAGACUCCUACGGGAGGCAGCAGUGGGGAAUAUUGCACAAUGGGCGGAAGCCUGAUGCAACAACGCCGCGUGCGGGAUGACGGCCUUCGGGUUGUAAACCGCUUUCGCCUGUGACGAAGCGUGAGUGACGGUAAUGGGUAAAGAAGCACCGGCUAACUACGUG